GACGAACGCUGGCGGCGUGCUUAACACAUGCAAGUCGAACGGAAAGGCCCUGCUUGCCGGGUACUCGAGUGGCGAACGGGUGAGUAACACGUGGGUGAUCUGCCCUGCACUUCGGGAUAAGCCUGGGAAACUGGGUCUAAUACCGGAUAGGAGCCAUUUUUAGUGUGAUGGUUGGAAAGUUUUUUCGGUGUAGGAUGAGCUCGCGGCCUAUCAGCUUGUUGGUGGGGUAAUGGCCUACCAAGGCGGCGACGGGUAGCCGGCCUGAGAGGGUGGACGGCCACAUUGGGACUGAGAUACGGCCCAGACUCCUACGGGAGGCAGCAGUGGGGAAUAUUGCACAAUGGGCGCAAACCUGAUGCAGCGACGCCGCGUGGGGGAUGACGGCCUUCGGGUUGUAAACUCCUUUCGCUAGGGACGAAGCUUUUUGUGACGGUACCUAGAUAAGAAGCACCGGCUAACUACGUG
Molecule: ribosomal RNA, 465 nt
Filed under: uncultured bacterium
Lineage: Bacteria
Description: partial 16S ribosomal RNA
Rfam family: Bacterial small subunit ribosomal RNA
Source: RNAcentral